UUUUAUCCAAGUCCGUCCGUUACUAUUUUCGUUACAGGCUUACAGCUGAUCGGCGAGGCUGUAGAAAAACCUCAAAACACACGUCUCUCUCAAUAGCAUUAUCGUCUCUCACCACUCUAAAACCCUUCCCGUCACCGCCCUCUCCGGCCAGCUUAAACUCCCUCCCACCGCCACUAUGUUCAUCGAUGAAUACGUAUCCAAUCAUUUCGUGACUCUUAAAUCUCUGCCACACCCUCGGGUUACAGUCACUAAACAAGCCCUUACUUUACGUUGUUAGUAUGGAGAAUUUUGGGUUUGAAGCAAGCUCCUCUGGUUCAUCUCAAUGAGGAAUUGCUUGUCAAGAAUAAACAUUCUUGAGGAAUUGCUUGCCAAGUAGUUCUAGAAAUAAGAACAUAUUGGAUAAGCCAUUACCAAGUAAAUUUGAAUAUUAACAUCCAUGGGAUUCUUAUUAAAUCUGUCUGACUCGUUUACGGGAGCAAGGGAUGGUGGAGGGAGAACAAGUAGCUCUUGUGCAGAGUGGUAAACAACCCAUCUGGCGAUAACAGUCCACCCACAAUAUCCAGAUCGAAAUAUCUCAGGAACUGAUCGGUAUUGUGGACAUAAUAUUACACGAUUUCAUGAUGCUAUAUUGAGAAAGGUUUUAAAAGGGGAGAAGUAUCUAAAACUCUACAGCUAUCGCUAUUUGAUUGAUGGAUUUGCUUCUGGUUACCCCCCUGCACGUGAAAUCUGAAUGGGCAGUCUGCAUGGUUCUUUAGGUUACUAGGGACUUCUCAUCUGGUUCAUGCAACAGAAAGCUUAUUGGCGCUCGCCAUUUUGCUGCAUCUACUAUAACACGAGGAAUAUUCAAUGCUACUCAGGAUUAUGCUUCACCUUUGAUGGUGAUGGCCAUGGAACGUAUGGAUAGAGCUAAUCUGUCCUAAAACACAGAAAGGCCGACAAGGAGGGUAUGAUAACAAAAACCUCUAUAAUUUUGGGACUUGGAGAUUCUGAGGAUGAGCUUAAGGAAGCCAUUGCUGACUUGAGGGCUAUAGAUGCUGAUAUUUUAACUCUUGGGAAGCACUUACAAGUGAGUUAACAUGCAAAUUCUUUGGCACAUUGCUUUUGUCAUUCCACAGUUUCUAGCCAUUUAGUCACAUUUGUGUUCGGGGGCAUUACAAAUAUACUGAAUAUAGGUUUGCAGAAGAGUUUACAACCGAGUAUAGAUUUGUGUGUGACUAAUAUGGCUUAUAUCCUUACAAUUGAGUAUCCGUUCUCAGAAAUUCUCAAGGCAAACAGAGUCGAAUCUAGAACCUGGGACAACAGAGGAUGAACCCUUAAGUAAUUAUCUAUAUUUUAGUAGUAUUCAAGCCCAAUUUGGGUCAGUUCUUUCAGUAUGCAAUAGUUUAUCGAAUUCUAAUCUUUUUAUUCUGUAGGUUGUUGCAGAAGUGUGCGGCACUUAUGUUGUAUUAUUUUCCGGGUGUGAAUUGAUCAAAGGGGUAUAAUUACUUAAUCAAGUCAUGAAGACUAACUGUAAUGUGUUGAAUUUGUCAUAUUCAUUAUAAUCAAGUAGAGCCGGCCAAACGGGCGGUUUGGCUCGGCCCGAACCGGCUCGAACCGACAUUUAGCCCGUAUUUUCACGUGCUGGUUCGAACCGGCACGAACCGGCACGAACCGGCCCGAACCGAGGUUUAACGACGAGCCGGUUACGGUUCACAUAUCUUCGAUUCGCGAACCGUCACAAACCGGCCCGCCAAAACUGGUAAAAUCCGCCCGAACCGUCUGGAACCGUGACCCGCGAAAGCCCGCUCGAACCGUUUGGAACCCGCGUGAACCGCGGUUCACGAACCGUGUAAACCUGUGAUAUUUAAACACAUAUUUUAAUCAAAUAUUUAAACAUGCUAAUCUAGUGCCAUUAUGAAUAAAUUAU
Daucus carota subsp. sativus is the source of this 1906-nucleotide long non-coding RNA. RefSeq lists it as uncharacterized. The record is from RefSeq and is a predicted model, not a curated record. The transcript has 6 exons. NCBI's taxonomy places the organism in Eukaryota, Viridiplantae, Streptophyta, Magnoliopsida, Apiales, Apiaceae.